ACUUUAUUGGACGCUGACUAUCAUAUGUCGUGAUUUUAUUGGAGAUUAAUGUUAAUUAGGUACACGAAAUUAACAUCCAAUAAGUGUGCAACACGUGAUAGUCAAUGUCCAAUAAAAACAUGACAUGUGACAGUCAACAUUA
RNAcentral lists this microRNA precursor (142 nucleotides) under Glycine max (soybean). Its description in RNAcentral is "MIR1520 microRNA precursor family". It matches the Rfam family "MIR1520 microRNA precursor family". The record is from Rfam by way of RNAcentral. Lineage: Eukaryota; Viridiplantae; Streptophyta; Magnoliopsida; Fabales; Fabaceae.